UGGGGAAUAUUGGACAAUGGGCGAAAGCCUGAUCCAGCCAUGCCGCGUGUGUGAAGAAGGUCUUCGGAUUGUAAAGCACUUUAAGUUGGGAGGAAGGGCAGUAAGCGAAUACCUUGCUGUUUUGACGUUACCGACAGAAUAAGCACCGGCUAACUCUGUGCCAGCAGCCGCGGUAAUACAGAGGGUGCAAGCGUUAAUCGGAAUUACUGGGCGUAAAGCGCGCGUAGGUGGUUCGUUAAGUUGAAUGUGAAAGCCCCGGGCUCAACCUGGGAACUGCAUCCAAAACUGGCGAGCUAGAGUAGGGCAGAGGGUGGGGGAAGUUCCUGUGUAGCGGUGAAAUGCGUAGAUAUAGGAAGGAACACCAGUGGCGAAGGCGACCACCUGGGCUCAUACUGACACUGAGGUGCGAAAGCGUGGGGAGCAAACAGG
Molecule: ribosomal RNA, 429 nt
Filed under: Pseudomonadota bacterium
Lineage: Bacteria; Pseudomonadati; Pseudomonadota
Description: Proteobacteria bacterium partial 16S ribosomal RNA
Rfam family: Bacterial small subunit ribosomal RNA
Source: RNAcentral